AAAAAGGCAAUGAAAAACAUAGUAGAGGUCUCAUAGCUUAGUAUUCAUAGCAAAAGAGAAGAAAACUAGUAGACCAUCUAUAUGCUAUACCAUUUUAUACUAUUGGAGGAUUGAUCUGUAUAUUUCGAAGGGUCAAUUCUGGAUUUCAAAAAUUCAAGUGCAAAUGCGGGCUUUAUAAAAAAGAGAAGAAAAAUGAAAAAGAGAGUGACAUCAUGGACUCACGGGCAUUACAUCAGCAACAACAAUGGGAUAGGAAAAAACAGGAUAAUUGUAGAAUGAAAUCAGUGACGUGAAGGAAGUGAUUCUUUUAUUUAGAUUUUUGGUUCAAGUGGUUGUUUAUAUCUGCAAUUCUCCUUGGUAUUCUGUUGGGUGCAAGGAGACCGCCAAAUCAGUACUUCUUCCAAUGCCUGCUCCUUUUUGAUAUGGACUUCCUUACUGGUAGUAGGUAUGGACUUAAUUUCCUCAAUCAACUGUGCACCCGAUAAAUUUGUUUCCUUAACAGGAAGUACAAAGAGGUUUGAAAGAUCUAAUCCUCCUAGUAUUAAAACAAAAGAUCCAUAAAAUAUCCUGUUUAUUUUUUCCUAUUAUUUUUUUCUUUUAUAGGCUGAUAUCCUUCGGAACAUUAAGAUAUCCUGUUUGCUGAGAAACUUUAGCAAUCUUCAAUUCCAUGAAGCUUACAUGUUUAAGUGAGGGCAGGGGCUACUAUUUCCCACCAUGCCACAUAGUUAAUAUAUGUGGUUUCCGGGUGUUACUUG
RNAcentral lists this unclassified non-coding RNA (755 nucleotides) under Hevea brasiliensis (rubber tree). Lineage: Eukaryota; Viridiplantae; Streptophyta; Magnoliopsida; Malpighiales; Euphorbiaceae. The record is from RNAcentral.